AAAGAGACUUCGGUCAAUGGAAGCUUUGACUUAGUGGCGGACGGGUGAGUAACGCGUGGGUAACCUGCCUCAUACAGGGGGAGUAACAGUUAGAAAUGACUGCUAAUACCGCAUAAGCGCACAGGAUCGCAUGAUCCGGUGUGAAAAACUCCGGUGGUAUGAGAUGGACCCGCGUCUGAUUAGCUAGUUGGUGGGGGAACGGCCUACCAAGGCGACGAUCAGUAGCCGGCCUGAGAGGGUGAACGGCCACAUUGGGACUGAGACACGGCCCAAACUCC
Molecule: ribosomal RNA, 278 nt
Filed under: uncultured Eubacteriales bacterium
Lineage: Bacteria; Bacillati; Bacillota; Clostridia; Eubacteriales
Description: uncultured Clostridiales bacterium partial 16S ribosomal RNA
Rfam family: Bacterial small subunit ribosomal RNA
Source: RNAcentral